This 467-nucleotide ribosomal RNA is filed under the name Bacillus subtilis. RNAcentral describes it as "SSU rRNA". It matches the Rfam family "Bacterial small subunit ribosomal RNA", at positions 1 to 456 of the family's 1533-position model. The record is from RNAcentral. Lineage: Bacteria; Bacillati; Bacillota; Bacilli; Caryophanales; Bacillaceae.
CUUUAUCGGAGAGUUUGAUCCUGGCUCAGGACGAACGCUGGCGGCGUGCCUAAUACAUGCAAGUCGAGCGGACAGAUGGGAGCUUGCUCCCUGAUGUUAGCGGCGGACGGGUGAGUAACACGUGGGUAACCUGCCUGUAAGACUGGGAUAACUCCGGGAAACCGGGGCUAAUACCGGAUGCUUGUUUGAACCGCAUGGUUCAAAYAUAAAAGGUGGCUUCGGCUACCACUUACAGAUGGACCCGCGGCGCAUUAGCUAGUUGGUGAGGUAAUGGCUCACCAAGGCAACGAUGCGUAGCCGACCUGAGAGGGUGAUCGGCCACACUGGGACUGAGACACGGCCCAGACUCCUACGGGAGGCAGCAGUAGGGAAUCUUCCGCAAUGGACGAAAGUCUGACGGAGCAACGCCGCGUGAGUGAUGAAGGUUUUCGGAUCGUAAAGCUCUGUUGUUAGGGAAGAACAAGUAC